CGGGUCGUAAAACUCUGUUGUUGGAGAAGAAUGGUCGGCAGAGUAACUGUUGUCGGCGUGACGGUAUCCAACCAGAAAGCCCACGGCUAACUACGUGCCAGCAGCCGCGGUAAUACGUAGGUGGCAAGCGUUAUCCGGAUUUAUUGGGCGUAAAGCGAGCGCAGGCGGUUUUUUAAGUCUGAUGUGAAAGCCCUCGGCUUAACCGAGGAAGCGCAUCGGAAACUGGGAAACUUGAGUGCAGAAGAGGACAGUGGAACUCCAUGUGUAGCGGUGAAAUGCGUAGAUAUAUGGAAGAACACCAGUGGCGAAGGCGGCUGUCUGGUCUGUAACUGACGCUGAGGCUCGAAAGCAUGGGUAGCGAACAGGAUUAGAUACCCUGGUAGUCCAUGCCGUAAACGAUGAAUGCUAGGUGUUGGAGGGUUUCCGCCCUUUCAGUGCCGCAGCUAACGCAUUAAGCAUUCCGCCUGGGGAGAC
RNAcentral lists this ribosomal RNA (474 nucleotides) under Lacticaseibacillus paracasei subsp. paracasei. Its description in RNAcentral is "bacterial SSU rRNA". It matches the Rfam family "Bacterial small subunit ribosomal RNA", at positions 419 to 882 of the family's 1533-position model. The record is from RNAcentral. Lineage: Bacteria; Bacillati; Bacillota; Bacilli; Lactobacillales; Lactobacillaceae.